Molecule: ribosomal RNA, 515 nt
Filed under: uncultured Helicobacter sp.
Lineage: Bacteria; Pseudomonadati; Campylobacterota; Epsilonproteobacteria; Campylobacterales; Helicobacteraceae
Description: bacterial LSU rRNA
Rfam family: Bacterial large subunit ribosomal RNA
Source: RNAcentral
GAACGGGGAAGAGGGCAAACCGAAUGCUUGCAUUCGGGUUUGACGGACUCGUCACAUCCACUUGUACUCAUUUAGUAGAAGUAACGUUGGAAAGGUUAGCCACAGGAGGGUGGAUAGCCCGUAUAUGAAAAUAAUACAUAGGUAGCAGGAUCCAGAGUAGGCCAGGACACGUGAAAUCCGGGCUGAAGCCGGGGAGACCACUCUCCAACCCUAAAUACUACUCUUUGACCGAUAGCGAACAAGUACCGUGAGGGAAAGGUGAAAAGAACCGCAGUGAGCGGAGUGAAAUAGAACCUGAAACCAUCUGCCUACAAUCAUUCGGAGCCCUAUGAUUUAUCAGGGUGACGGCUGCCUUUUGCAUAAUGAUCCUGCGAGUUUGUGGUAUCUGGCGAGGUUAAGCAAACGCGAAGCCGUAGCGAAAGCGAGUCUGAAAGGGCGAUUUAGUCAGAUGCUGCAGACCCGAAGCUGAGUGAUCUAUCCAUGGCCAAGUUGAAGCGAGUGUAAAUGCUGUAGGG